GGCACGAAGAAAGCCGAACUUUCCGGCACCGGAUCAGUCUAUCGUUGCGGUCGCGGGCCGCCCGCAUCCGCUACUACUGAGCAGGGAUGCCGGUCGAUGACCCAGGACGACAACGACCAGGAGCUCGUCCGACGGGUGCAGGCAGGCGAUCAGUCGGCCUUUAAUUUGCUCGUGCUGAAAUACCAGCAUCGAGUGCUGAAGCUGGUCGGCCGGUUCGUUCACGA
Molecule: unclassified non-coding RNA, 224 nt
Filed under: plant metagenome
Description: partial contains 5.8S ribosomal RNA, internal transcribed spacer 2, and large subunit ribosomal RNA
Source: RNAcentral